This 1225-nucleotide ribosomal RNA is filed under the name uncultured bacterium. RNAcentral describes it as "bacterial SSU rRNA". It matches the Rfam family "Bacterial small subunit ribosomal RNA", at positions 160 to 1387 of the family's 1533-position model. The record is from RNAcentral.
AGAUUAAUACAAGAUGUUAUCAUGAGUAAGCAUUUUCGCAUGAUUAAAGGUUUACCGGUGUAAGAUGGGGAUGCGUUCCAUUAGAUAGUAGGCGGGGUAACGGCCCACCUAGUCUUCGAUGGAUAGGGGUUCUGAGAGGAAGGUCCCCCACAUUGGAACUGAGACACGGUCCAAACUCCUACGGGAGGCAGCAGUGAGGAAUAUUGGUCAAUGGACGAGAGUCUGAACCAGCCAAGUAGCGUGAAGGAUGAAGGUUCUAUGGAUUGUAAACUUCUUUUAUACGGGAAUAAACGGAUCCACGUGUGGAUUUUUGCAUGUACCGUAUGAAUAAGGAUCGGCUAACUCCGUGCCAGCAGCCGCGGUAAUACGGAGGAUCCGAGCGUUAUCCGGAUUUAUUGGGUUUAAAGGGAGCGUAGAUGGGUUGUUAAGUCAGUUGUGAAAGUUUGCGGCUCAACCGUAAAAUUGCAAUUGAUACUGGCAGUCUUGAGUACAGUUGAGGUAGGCGGAAUUCGUGGUGUAGCGGUGAAAUGCUUAGAUAUCACGAAGAACUCCGAUUGCGAAGGCAGCUUACUAACCUGUAACUGACAUUGAUGCUCGAAGGUGUGGGUAUCAAACAGGAUUAGAUACCCUGGUAGUCCACACGGUAAACGAUGAAUACUCGCUGUAGGCGAUAUACGGUCUGCGGCCAAGCGAAAGCAUUAAGUAUUCCACCUGGGGAGUACGCCGGCAACGGUGAAACUCAAAGGAAUUGACGGGGGCCCGCACAAGCGGAGGAACAUGUGGUUUAAUUCGAUGAUACGCGAGGAACCUUACCCGGGCUUAAAUUGCAACCGAAUAUGGCGGAAACGCUAUAGCUAGCAAUAGCGGUUGUGAAGGUGCUGCAUGGUUGUCGUCAGCUCGUGCCGUGAGGUGUCGGCUUAAGUGCCAUAACGAGCGCAACCCUUGCCGAUAGUUACUAACAGGUUAUGCUGAGGACUCUGUCGGGACUGCCACCGUAAGAUGUGAGGAAGGUGGGGAUGACGUCAAAUCAGCACGGCCCUUACGUCCGGGGCUACACACGUGUUACAAUGGGGGGUACAGAGGGCUGCUACCACGCAAGUGGAUGCCAAUCCCAAAAACCUCUCUCAGUUCGGAUUGAAGUCUGCAACCCGACUUCAUGAAGCUGGAUUCGCUAGUAAUCGCGCAUCAGCCACGGCGCGGUGAAUACGUUCCCGGGCCUUGUACA